This 208-nucleotide ribosomal RNA is filed under the name uncultured bacterium. Its description in RNAcentral is "partial 16S ribosomal RNA". It matches the Rfam family "Bacterial small subunit ribosomal RNA", at positions 1293 to 1500 of the family's 1533-position model. The record is from RNAcentral.
UCGGAUUGUAGUCUGCAACCCGACUACAUGAAGCUGGAAUCGCUAGUAAUCGCGGAUCAGAAUGCCGCGGUGAAUACGUUCCCGGGUCUUGUACACACCGCCCGUCACACCAUGGGAGCCGGGAAUGCCCGAAGUCGGUGACCUAACCUUUAAGGGGGAGCCGCCGAAGGCAGGUCUGGUAACUGGGGUGAAGUCGUAACAAGGUAUC